Molecule: transfer RNA, 69 nt
Filed under: Tor putitora (golden mahseer)
Lineage: Eukaryota; Metazoa; Chordata; Actinopteri; Cypriniformes; Cyprinidae
Description: tRNA-Met
Source: RNAcentral
GACGGGGUCAGCUAAUAAGCUUUUCGGGCCCAUACCCCGAACAUGACGGUUAAAGUCCCUCCUCCGCCC